AGCCCUCUGCAUCCGUGCGGAGAUUUCGUCGACGAUCAACCCACUGGGGCUGAUGCGGCUUCCAAAAUAAGUGAAGCG
Molecule: microRNA precursor, 78 nt
Filed under: Trichobilharzia regenti
Lineage: Eukaryota; Metazoa; Platyhelminthes; Trematoda; Strigeidida; Schistosomatidae
Description: mir-3492 microRNA precursor family
Rfam family: mir-3492 microRNA precursor family
Source: Rfam by way of RNAcentral